GCUUCUCCAAUGACAACUGAUUUUGAGGAGCUUAUUGAAGAGUUUGAGAAACUUGAAUUAGAAAUUGCACCAACCAGAGAAGAUGAUGAUGAGUCUGGUGUGGAUUCAGAUUAAGCCAU
Arachis ipaensis is the source of this 119-nucleotide non-coding RNA. The record is from RefSeq and is a predicted model, not a curated record. Lineage: Eukaryota; Viridiplantae; Streptophyta; Magnoliopsida; Fabales; Fabaceae.